This 586-nucleotide ribosomal RNA is filed under the name uncultured bacterium. RNAcentral's name for it is "bacterial SSU rRNA". It matches the Rfam family "Bacterial small subunit ribosomal RNA", at positions 202 to 808 of the family's 1533-position model. The record is from RNAcentral.
AAAAGAAAUUCGGUGCAGGAUGAGUCCGCGUCUGAUUAGCUAGUUGGAGGGGUAAGAGCCCACCAAGGCAACGAUCAGUAGCCGGCCUGAGAGGGCGACCGGCCACAUUGGGACUGAGACACGGCCCAAACUCCUACGGGAGGCAGCAGUGGGGAAUAUUGCACAAUGGGGGAAACCCUGAUGCAGCGACGCCGCGUGAGCGAGGAAGUAUUUCGGUAUGUAAAGCUCUAUCAGCAGGGACGAAAAAAGACGGUACUUGACUAAGAAGCCCCGGCUAACUACGUGCCAGCAGCCGCGGUAAUACGUAGGGGGCAAGCGUUAUCCGGAUUUACUGGAUGUAAAGGGAGCGUAGACGGCAAGGCAAGCCAGAAGUGAAAGGGCAGGGCUCAACCCCGUACAUGCUUUUGGAACUGUGGUGCUAGAGUGCAGGAGAGGUAAGUGGAAUUCCUAGUGUAGCGGUGAAAUGCGUAGAUAUUAGGAGGAACACCAGUGGCGAAGGCGGCUUACUGGACUGUAACUGACGUUGAGGCUCGAAAGCGUGGGGAGCAAACAGGAUUAGAUACCCUGGUAGUCCACGCUGUAAACG